Molecule: long non-coding RNA, 826 nt
Organism: Melanotaenia boesemani (Boeseman's rainbowfish)
Lineage: Eukaryota; Metazoa; Chordata; Actinopteri; Atheriniformes; Melanotaeniidae
Exons: 3
Source: RefSeq, a predicted model, not a curated record
CAUGCAGACUCCACACAGAAAGGCUCCAGCCGAGCUUCAAACCAGGAACCUUCUUGCUGGGAGGCCACAGUGCUAACCCCCACACCUCCAUGCAGCCCAUCUUCCAACUUACAAUGUUAGAAACAAAUCUACAGAUGGAACCUCCACCUGAAUCGUCUCCAUGGUAACAUCCUCUCUUCAGCUCCAUCUCAUCUUCCAUGUAGCUCCAUUAACUUGAGUUUAAAAUGACACAGCUCCACCUGCAGUCUCUGCCAUCCACCUGCACAGCAUCCACCUCCAAGAAGAAAAAUCCACCUUCCAACUCUACCUGCAACCUCUGGCAUCAAGAAGGAAACUAAAUCCAUCUUCAGCCUCCACCUUCAGGCAUCACCCUCCAGACUGAACCUCCACCUGAAUGGUCUCCAUGGCAACAUCCUCUCUUCAGCUCCAGCCUCCAUCAUCUUCUGUCUUUGUACAUGAAGCUCCACCUGCAGUCUCUGCCGUCAACCUGCAAAGCAUCCACAUCCAGGAAGAGAAAUCCACCUUCAACCCAUAAUUGCAUCCCAUUAUUCCUGCUUCUAUUCCUCCACCUCCACAUUCAGCAUCGACACCCCCCAUCCUUCCUUCGACUGGGAGCGCUCCUUCACACGGACGUCUUCACUGGACUUGAAGCUCAAACUGUUCUGAUAAAAUGAAACUUCCUGAAUUUGAAUUGUUAAAAAAUUUCUGCUCAUUCCACAAGUGUUAUCAUGAAAGAGAAACCUUAAGAACUGAGAUGUUCAUCAUUUUAUGGGAUUUUAAUGCAUUUAAAUCUGUCUGAUUAAAUGUUUCUGCUGUGGCUGUAAAA